Molecule: ribosomal RNA, 715 nt
Filed under: uncultured bacterium
Lineage: Bacteria
Description: bacterial SSU rRNA
Rfam family: Bacterial small subunit ribosomal RNA
Source: RNAcentral
UAACGCGUAUGCAACUUACCUAUCAGAGGGGGAUAGCCCGGCGAAAGUCGGAUUAAUACCCCAUAAAACAGGGGUCCCGCAUGGGAAUAUUUGUUAAAGAUUCAUCGCUGAUAGAUAGGCAUGCGUUCCAUUAGGCAGUUGGCGGGGUAACGGCCCACCAAACCGACGAUGGAUAGGGGUUCUGAGAGGAAGGUCCCCCACAUUGGUACUGAGACACGGACCAAACUCCUACGGGAGGCAGCAGUGAGGAAUAUUGGUCAAUGGCCGAGAGGCUGAACCAGCCAAGUCGCGUGAAGGAAGAAGGAUCUAUGGUUUGUAAACUUCUUUUAUAGGGGAAUAAAGUGGAGGACGUGUCCUUUUUUGUAUGUACCCUAUGAAUAAGCAUCGGCUAACUCCGUGCCAGCAGCCGCGGUAAUACGGAGGAUGCGAGCGUUAUCCGGAUUUAUUGGGUUUAAAGGGUGCGUAGGUGGUGAUUUAAGUCAGCGGUGAAAGUUUGUGGCUCAACCAUAAAAUUGCCGUUGAAACUGGGUUACUUGAGUGUGUUUGAGGUAGGCGGAAUGCGUGGUGUAGCGGUGAAAUGCAUAGAUAUCACGCAGAACUCCGAUUGCGAAGGCAGCUUACUAAACCAUAACUGACACUGAAGCACGAAAGCGUGGGGAUCAAACAGGAUUAGAUACCCUGGUAGUCCACGCAGUAAACGAUGAUUACUAGGAGU